UACGGGGGGGGCAAGCGUUGUUCGGAAUUACUGGGCGUAAAGCGCACGUAGGCGGAUCAGUAAGUUAGAGGUGAAAGCCCAGGGCUCAACCCUGGAACUGCCUUUGAUACUGCUGGUCUGGAGGUCGAGAGAGGUGAGUGGAAUUCCGAGUGUAGAGGUGAAAUUCGUAGAUAUUCGGAGGAACACCAGUGGCGAAGGCGGCUCACUGGCUCGAUACUGACGCUGAGGUGCGAAAGCGUGGGGAGCGAACAGG
RNAcentral lists this ribosomal RNA (253 nucleotides) under uncultured bacterium. RNAcentral's name for it is "partial 16S ribosomal RNA". It matches the Rfam family "Bacterial small subunit ribosomal RNA", at positions 524 to 776 of the family's 1533-position model. The record is from RNAcentral.